RNAcentral lists this long non-coding RNA (207 nucleotides) under Lathyrus oleraceus (garden pea). RNAcentral's name for it is "Pisum sativum (pea) long non-coding RNA (PSAT_LNC035488)". Lineage: Eukaryota; Viridiplantae; Streptophyta; Magnoliopsida; Fabales; Fabaceae. The record is from RNAcentral.
UUGACGACAGAAGAAGAACCACCCAUAAGCACCAACUAAUCAAAACGAGAAAUCGAAUUGACACACCAAUUCUCCCAACUACAUUCCUUUUUGAACUUAUUUAAGGACACAAGUCAUUCCCACAAAAAAAACUUGAUCAUUCCUAACAUAUCAAAAAUGCUUAAAAUUCCUCUUAAACAAAAUGGUAUAUCUACAAAUCUAAAUGAC